Molecule: ribosomal RNA, 253 nt
Filed under: uncultured bacterium
Lineage: Bacteria
Description: partial 16S ribosomal RNA
Rfam family: Bacterial small subunit ribosomal RNA
Source: RNAcentral
UACGUAUGGGGCGAGCGUUGUUCGGAGUUAUUGGGCGUAAAGGGCGUGUAGGCGGCCCGACAAGUCUGGUGUGAAAUCGCAGGGCCUAACCCUGCGGGUGCGCUGGAAACGGUUGGGCUGGAGUCCCGGGGGGGAAGCUGGAAUUCCUGGUGUAGGAGUGAAAUCUGUAGAGAUCAGGAAGAACACCGGUGGCGAAGGCGAGCUUCUAUUCGAGGACUGACGCUGAGGCGCGAAAGCGUGGGGAGCAAACAGG